UUACAAAUUGUUAAGUAUUGAUGAAUAAUA
This 30-nucleotide non-coding RNA is filed under the name Mus musculus (house mouse). The record is from RNAcentral. Lineage: Eukaryota; Metazoa; Chordata; Mammalia; Rodentia; Muridae.